AUGUCAUGGCAUAAUUUUUUAUCCCGUUUGGAUGCGAUUAGCCUGACAGAAGGCCGGGAUGUGUUUCGCUGGAACCUUACUACAUCAGGGUCUUUCACCGUAAACUCUAUGUAUUGUGUGCUCACACAUUUUGAGGUACCUAUGAAUAAUAAAAAAAAUUGGAGGUCGAAGGUACCACUAAAAGUUAAAGCCUUCAUGUGGUAUCUUCAUAGGGGCGUUGUGCUAACCAAAGACAACCUCGCACGGCAUAAUUGGCAAGGGAGUAAGAAGUAUUGUUUUUGUACUCAUGAUGAGACAAUCAGACAUAUCUUUUUCCAAUGCAACUUUGCACGUUCUACGUGGUCAGUCAUCCAAAUAGCGUCAAGUUUAUAUCAGCCCACAAGUGUUGCCAAUGUUUUUGGUCAUUGGUUGGACGAUGUUUCAAAUAGGUUCAAAACGCUAUUAAGGAUGGGAAUGUAUGCCUUACUAUGGUCGCUCUGGCUACGUAGAGAUGAUUUUGGUUUUAAUGAAAAAAAUGCUUCUCCUUUGCGGGCUAUUUUCCGUUGUACGCACCUCGCUUCGUACGUGGUCUAUGCUACAACGAGCGGAGGUCCAACCGAUGUUCAAGCCGGUGUAUACGCGAUUGGAGCAGGUGGCUACGGUGGUUUUUACCCAACAUGGGUGGCAGCAUAA
RNAcentral lists this ribosomal RNA (672 nucleotides) under Triticum aestivum (bread wheat). Its description in RNAcentral is "partial small subunit ribosomal RNA". Lineage: Eukaryota; Viridiplantae; Streptophyta; Magnoliopsida; Poales; Poaceae. The record is from RNAcentral.